This 583-nucleotide long non-coding RNA is filed under the name Bos taurus (domestic cattle). Its description in RNAcentral is "long non-coding RNA NONBTAT025628". The record is from RNAcentral. Lineage: Eukaryota; Metazoa; Chordata; Mammalia; Artiodactyla; Bovidae.
UAAAAUUAUGCUAUGCUGUAUUCUACCUUCAGUCUAGUACUUUUCCCCGAUGAUAAUGUAAAUCACUAUGCAGAGUCCCUUCUGUAAAAUGCACACAUUCUGUCUAUCUAAGUAUCUGUUUAUGUCUGUCUAUCACAAAAAUAAAAGCCCUUUGUUAAUAAAUUAAUCUGAAGGUUGAAGAAAGAAACCAUUCCUCCUAGGUUAUAAAGCUUAGUGAGGUUGUGAUUCAAUAGUUUAAAAGCCCAACUAAGUAUCAAUUCUUCCCCCUUGUCAAAUCCUCAGACUGAAAUUUAGAGAGCAAAUGGCAUUACACAGAGAAGAAUGAAUACUGAACAAUACUAAUAAAUGUGCCUGUAAAUUCAUUUAUUAUUUUUGGAAGAGUGUAUCUUUUUUUUAAAUUUCUUUUAUCCAAGAGUUUAUAAAUACAAAUAAUUAGCCAGGUUGUUAAAAUAAGUUUUGUCUUCUUCACAUAUUUAUUUGAAGAGACUAAAUGUUUUUUGUAUUCAAUAGUGAGCAUGCAUAGGUCUCAUGAUUUUGUGCCUGGUUUUCUUCUGACAUUGUAUCAUAUAGGGAAAAACAAAUG